CUUCACUGCAUGGAGGAAGACAGUGUUGGUAGGAAGCACACAGUUUUUGACCGUAUCGUAUGGUAUCAUCUCAUAAUUGAAGGUAACAGAGAAGUGUGCUUUUAGAUAAAGGAAAGCGAUUGAGUAAUGAUGUUGAUUGGAAGUUGAUUGGACAAUAAAUAUGUUUUUAUUUGCAUCUAUUUGCUUACGAACUCUGACUUUUUACGCGUUAAAAACUUGCUCACUCUACCAACAAUAGCGGCAUUGGUAAGCCGCUACAAAAAAAGUCAAAAACUUUGCUUCGUGGGACAAUUGAGACGCCGCUGGAGUGGACAGCAAGGCAUGGUGUUUCUACAGACAAGGACAGCGACGUUCGUUUGGAUCAAGGCUUCAUUUGCUGCACGUGAGGACAGCGUUUCUUCAGCAUCUGAGUGAGUUCGUUUGGAUCGGCUUUCUUCUGGUUUCCUGCAUUAAGGUGAAUCUACGCUGCGUUCAUCUCUUCGCGUUUGAUAAACAGCACAAUAGUGGUGCAGAUCAGAUCCUGUUUCAUAAUGGACGACAAACAAAUAUCCAGAGAUGAAAAUGUUUCUCCAGGAUGCAGUUUAGUUCAUCAGAAGAGAUCAGAUCCAGAGCCCAGCUGUGUGUCUAUGAGGAGUGACUGGUCUAUGGAUCAUCCAAAUAAUUUUGGAAGUGAAAAUACACAGAUUGAUCUCAGUUCAUUUCAUCACAAGAGAACAGAAGCAGAGGCCAGCCGUGUGUCUAUGAGGAGUGACACGUUUAUGAAUCAUCCAAUAAAUAUUUGGAAAGUAGAAGCACAGUGUAAUAUCAGACAAAACUUGCUGAACACAUUUAGAUCAAAUCUGCUGAAGAAGUUUGAGUGUCUGUAUGAGGGAACAGCGGCGCAGGGAAACCCAACACUCCUGAAUGAGAUCUACACAGAGCUCUACAUCACAGAGAGUGAGAGUGGAGAGAUCAGUCAUGAGCAUGAGGUGAGACAGAUUGAGACACAAUCCAGGAGAUCAACAACAGAGGACACAGCGAUCAAAUGCAGAGACAUCUUUACACCUUUACCUGGACAAGACAAAGCCAUCAGAACUGUGCUGACGAAGGGAGUCGCUGGCAUCGGAAAAACAGUCUCUGUGCAGAAGUUCAUCCUGGACUGGGCUGAAGAGAAGGAGAAUCAGGACGUCCAGCUCAUAUUUCCACUUCCUUUCAGAGAGAUCAAUCUGAUGAAGGACAAAACACUCAGUCUGUCAGAUCUUCUUCAGCUCUUUUUCCCUCAAACUAAAGAAAUGGAAAUAUCCAGUGACAAAUAUAAAGUGCUGUUCAUCUUUGAUGGUCUGGACGAGUGUCGUCUUCCCUUAAAUUUCAAAAGGAUUAAGACUCUGAGGGAUGUGACCAAAACAUCAUCAGUGGACGUGCUGCUGAUGAACCUGAUUGUGGGGAAUCUGCUUCCCUCUGCUCUCAUCUGGAUCACCUCCAGACCAGCAGCAGCAGAUCUCGUCCCCUCUGAGUGUGUCCAUCGAGUGACAGAGGUACGAGGCUUCAAUGACUCUCAGAAGGAGGAAUACUUCAGCAAGAGAAUCAGUGAUCAGAGUCUGGCCAAUACAAUCAUCUCACACCUGAAGUCCUCCAGGAGCCUCUACAUCAUGUGCCACAUCCCUGUGUUCUGCUGGAUCUCAGCCACUGUUCUAGAGAAGAUGUUGAGUGAAGCAGAGACUGCAGAGAUUCCCAAGACUCUCACUCAGAUGUACACACACUUCCUGAUCCUGCAGACCAACAUCAAACAUCAGAAGGACUAUGAGAAGAAGCUGACAGAUGAAGACAUGAUCCUCAAACUGGGGAAAGUGGCUUUUCAGCAGCUCAUGAAAGGCAAUAUAAUCUUCUAUGAGGAAGACCUGAGAGAGUGUGGCAUUGAUGUGGCAGAAGCUUCAGUUUACUCAGGAUUGUGCACUCAGAUCUUCAGAGAGGAGUUUGGCUUGUAUCAGGGGAAAGUCUUCAGCUUUGUUCAUCUGAGCAUUCAGGAACAUCUAGCAGCUCUAUAUGUGCACCUCUCCUGUAUAAACAAUAACAGAGAUGAGUUUGAGCAAAUCAACAAACCGAGUUUGUGGUCUCAAGUUAAAGACUUGUUUCAGCUCAAUUCUUUAGAAUGUGUUUCAUUAUCCAAACUGAAUCAGCGAGCUGUAAAUGAGGCUCUAAAGAGUCAAAAUGGACAUCUGGAUCUUUUCCUGCGGUUUCUUCUGGGUCUGUCAGUGGAGUCUCAUCAGAUUCUCCUAAAAGGACUAAUGACACUGAAAAGCAGAUCAAUCCAGAAUAAUAAAACAGUCGAGUACAUCAAGAAGAAGAUCAGGACCAUCGACUCUCCAGAGAAAUCCAUCAAUCUGUUUCACUGUCUGAAUGAACUGGGUGAUCAUUCACUAGUGGAGGAAAUACAGCAGUUUCUAAAAUCUGGAAGAAUAAACAGAGCCAAACUCUCCUCAUCUCAGUGGUCAGCUGUAGCGUUUGUGUUGUUGACAUCAGAGAAGAAGCUGGAGGAGUUUGAUAUUAAUGAAUUUGUUGCUGAAAACAAUAAAACUGAAAAACAGCUCAUUUUUAAGAAGCUGCUGCCCGUGAUUAGAGAAUGCAGAUCAGUUCAGUUGUAUGAUUGUGGUCUCACAGAUGAAGGUUGUGCUGCUUUGGCUUCAGCUCUAAAAUCAAACCCUGAACACCUAAAAGAUCUGAAUCUGUCUAGGAAUAGACUAAGAGAUUCAGUGACUCUUCUCUCUGCUGUACUGGAGGAUCCUCACUGUAAACUGGAGAAACUGGGGUUGAAUAAGUGUGGUCUCACAGGAAAAGGUUGUGCUGCUUUGAUUUCAGCUCUGAGAACUGAAUCUGUCCUGGAGCAAUCUAGGAUAUUCAGUGACUCUUCUCUCUGCUGUACUGGAGGAUCCUCGCUGUAAACUGGAGAAACUGGAGUUGUAUGAUUGUGGUCUUACAGAUAAAGGUUGUGCUGCUUUGGCUUCAGCUCUGAGAUCAAACCCUGAACACCUGAGAAAUCUGAAUCUGUCCUGGAAUAAUCUAGGAGAUUCAGUGACUCUUCUCUCUGCUGUACUGAAGGAUCCUCGCUGUAAACUGGAAACACUGCGGUUGAGUUAUUGUGGUCUUACAGAUGAAGAUUGUGCUGCUUUGGCUUCAGCUCUGAGAUCAAACAUUGAACACCUGAGAGAUCUGAAUCUGUCUGGGAAUUAUCUAAAAAAGUCAGUGACUCUUCUCUCUGCUGUACUGGAGGAUCCUCGCUGUAAACUGGAGACACUGAGGUUGGGUGAUUGUGGUCUCACAGAUAAAGGUUGUGCUGCUUUGGCUUCAGCUCUGAGAUCAAACCCUGAACACCUGAAACAUCUGGAUCUGUCUGACAAUCUACAAAUAAUAUCCUCAUGGAAGCUGUUCUCUGAUCUGAUGGACGACCCACUGAAUAAACUGGAAUUUUGUGAUUUUCAGUGUUCAGGAUUUCCUGGUUAUGAAUAAGGAGAAACGUCACAGACACACAAUCAACACACACUGAAGACACACAGACUCGCACUGACUUCACAACACUGGCUUAUUUUCAUAUGCAAUAACCAGGAAAAGGAAAAUGACGUCAUUAUAUUGUUCAGAUCGUCCAGAUAUUGAUUAUAGUGGAAAAUGGGAUUUUAAAAUAACAAAACUAAAGCACUUCUAUUGUAAUCAGUCAGUCAUGUUGACAUUGUGUAAAUAUGAAAUGUGUCGUGCAGCACAGACAGCUUUGUUCCUUAUAUUGGAAAAGUAAGAUUCUUUUGUUUAAUUACUCUUUUAGUAUAAUCUUGGUUUUACAAGGUUUACUCUGAGAAAAUCAAGACUUUGGCUACAGAAGAGAUGUUGUGUCUGAAAUGUGUCAGCAGAGGUCGACAAAGUGAAAGUAAUUCAUUUAACUGAGCAUUUAAUUCACUACAAUGUUUGUAAAUGAAUGAUGUGUAAUUAUUUAACUGAUUUAACACGCUCAUCUAUUAAUAUUCCCACUUCACUUUUCUUGAUGACAAACAUUUCUGAUGCCCACAACAAAACUCAUCUGAAUCAGCCACUCUUGAAGACUUCUUAAAUAUCAUAUUAACAUAUUUAGUAAAGAUGAGCUGAUUGAGGGGUCAGAUAAUACUGAUGCUACAAAAAGAUAUGCUCAGUGUUUUGACUAAACACUGUUUAUUACUGAGAGGGUUCUUUAGUUCUUAUAGUAAAUGUUUAUGGUGUCAUACUUUUCAUGUCAGUGUCAAAGACAUCAUAAUAGGAGCAGUUUGAUGUGUCCAUGUUUGUAUGAUUUUUGUAUGUUUGAAUUAUUUAUAUGCAUGUUUGUAUAGAGAUAAUACACGUUUUGUCAAAAACCUUAUGCCCCUGAAAAGACUUUUAUAAAUACCCAAAUAAACACAUUCAGCUCGU
This is a non-coding RNA of Danio rerio (zebrafish), 4404 nucleotides long. The record is from RefSeq and is a predicted model, not a curated record. Lineage: Eukaryota; Metazoa; Chordata; Actinopteri; Cypriniformes; Danionidae.